RNAcentral lists this transfer RNA (74 nucleotides) under Candidatus Yanofskybacteria bacterium RIFCSPLOWO2_01_FULL_49_17. RNAcentral describes it as "tRNA-His". It matches the Rfam family "tRNA". Rfam says of the family: Transfer RNA (tRNA) molecules are approximately 80 nucleotides in length. The record is from RNAcentral. Lineage: Bacteria; Candidatus Yanofskyibacteriota.
GGGACUAUGGUGAAAUGGUUAUCACAUCGCUCUGUGGCAGCGAGGUCAUGGGUUCGAGUCCCAUUAGUCCCCCA